GCAGUCUGCGCAGGGACUGGCGGGACUGCGCGGCGGCGACUACAGACGUGUCGGGGGUCCGGGGCCUGUCGCGGUUGCCAAGCGCUCGGCGCCUGGCGCUGGCGCUGGCCAAGGCGUGGCCAACAGUGUUGCAAACAGGAACCCGAGGUGUUCACUUCACUGUUGAAGGAACGAGAGGGCAUCUGCUAAAGUUUCAGAUUCCAUUUCUGCUCAGUAUCCAGUAGUGGAUCAUGAAUUUGAUGCAGUGGUGGUAGGCGCUGGAGGGGCCGGCUUUGCGAGCUGCAUUUGGCCUUUCCGAGGCAGAGUUUGAUACAGCAUGUGUUACCAAGCUGUUUCCUACCAGGUCACACACUGUUGCAGCGCAGGUAGAAAAUUAUGGCAUGCCGUUUAGCAGAACUGAAGAUGGGAAGAUUUAUCAGCGUGCAUUUGGCGGACACAGCCUCAAGUUUGGAAAGGGCGGGCAGGCCCAUGGGUGCUGCUGUGUGGCUGAUCGGACCGGCCACUCAAUAUUGCACACCUUAUACGGGAGGUCUCUGCGAUAUGAUACC
This 548-nucleotide long non-coding RNA is filed under the name Homo sapiens (human). RNAcentral's name for it is "non-protein coding lnc-TFRC-7:2". Lineage: Eukaryota; Metazoa; Chordata; Mammalia; Primates; Hominidae. The record is from RNAcentral.